RNAcentral lists this ribosomal RNA (2904 nucleotides) under Escherichia coli. RNAcentral describes it as "23S ribosomal RNA". It matches the Rfam family "Bacterial large subunit ribosomal RNA". RNAcentral also lists the same sequence under 12 other names. Lineage: Bacteria; Pseudomonadati; Pseudomonadota; Gammaproteobacteria; Enterobacterales; Enterobacteriaceae. The record is from RNAcentral.
GGUUAAGCGACUAAGCGUACACGGUGGAUGCCCUGGCAGUCAGAGGCGAUGAAGGACGUGCUAAUCUGCGAUAAGCGUCGGUAAGGUGAUAUGAACCGUUAUAACCGGCGAUUUCCGAAUGGGGAAACCCAGUGUGAUUCGUCACACUAUCAUUAACUGAAUCCAUAGGUUAAUGAGGCGAACCGGGGGAACUGAAACAUCUAAGUACCCCGAGGAAAAGAAAUCAACCGAGAUUCCCCCAGUAGCGGCGAGCGAACGGGGAGCAGCCCAGAGCCUGAAUCAGUGUGUGUGUUAGUGGAAGCGUCUGGAAAGGCGUGCGAUACAGGGUGACAGCCCCGUACACAAAAAUGCACAUACUGUGAGCUCGAUGAGUAGGGCGGGACACGUGGUAUCCUGUCUGAAUAUGGGGGGACCAUCCUCCAAGGCUAAAUACUCCUGACUGACCGAUAGUGAACCAGUACCGUGAGGGAAAGGCGAAAAGAACCCCGGCGAGGGGAGUGAAAAAGAACCUGAAACCGUGUACGUACAAGCAGUGGGAGCACGCUUAGGCGUGUGACUGCGUACCUUUUGUAUAAUGGGUCAGCGACUUAUAUUCUGUAGCAAGGUUAACCGAAUAGGGGAGCCGAAGGGAAACCGAGUCUUAACUGGGCGUUAAGUUGCAGGGUAUAGACCCGAAACCCGGUGAUCUAGCCAUGGGCAGGUUGAAGGUUGGGUAACACUAACUGGAGGACCGAACCGACUAAUGUUGAAAAAUUAGCGGAUGACUUGUGGCUGGGGGUGAAAGGCCAAUCAAACCGGGAGAUAGCUGGUUCUCCCCGAAAGCUAUUUAGGUAGCGCCUCGUGAAUUCAUCUCCGGGGGUAGAGCACUGUUUCGGCAAGGGGGUCAUCCCGACUUACCAACCCGAUGCAAACUGCGAAUACCGGAGAAUGUUAUUACGGGAGACACACGGCGGGUGCUAACGUCCGUCGUGAAGAGGGAAACAACCCAGACCGCCAGCUAAGGUCCCAAAGUCAUGGUUAAGUGGGAAACGAUGUGGGAAGGCCCAGACAGCCAGGAUGUUGGCUUAGAAGCAGCCAUCAUUUAAAGAAAGCGUAAUAGCUCACUGGUCGAGUCGGCCUGCGCGGAAGAUGUAACGGGGCUAAACCAUGCACCGAAGCUGCGGCAGCGACGCUUAUGCGUUGUUGGGUAGGGGAGCGUUCUGUAAGCCUGUGAAGGUGUGCUGUGAGGUAUGCUGGAGGUAUCAGAAGUGCGAAUGCUGACAUAAGUAACGAUAAAGCGGGUGAAAAGCCCGCUCGCCGGAAGACCAAGGGUUCCUGUCCAACGUUAAUCGGGGCAGGGUGAGUCGACCCCUAAGGCGAGGCCGAAAGGCGUAGUCGAUGGGAAACAGGUUAAUAUUCCUGUACUUGGUGUUACUGCGAAGGGGGGACGGAGAAGGCUAUGUUGGCCGGGCGACGGUUGUCCCGGUUUAAGCGUGUAGGCUGGUUUUCCAGGCAAAUCCGGAAAAUCAAGGCCGAGGCGUGAUGACGAGGCACUACGGUGCUGAAGCAACAAAUGCCCUGCUUCCAGGAAAAGCCUCUAAGCAUCAGGUAACAUCAAAUCGUACCCCAAACCGACACAGGUGGUCAGGUAGAGAAUACCAAGGCGCUUGAGAGAACUCGGGUGAAGGAACUAGGCAAAAUGGUGCCGUAACUUCGGGAGAAGGCACGCUGAUACGUAGGUGAAGCGACUUGCUCGUGGAGCUGAAAUCAGUCGAAGAUACCAGCUGGCUGCAACUGUUUAUUAAAAACACAGCACUGUGCAAACACGAAAGUGGACGUAUACGGUGUGACGCCUGCCCGGUGCCGGAAGGUUAAUUGAUGGGGUUAGCGCAAGCGAAGCUCUUGAUCGAAGCCCCGGUAAACGGCGGCCGUAACUAUAACGGUCCUAAGGUAGCGAAAUUCCUUGUCGGGUAAGUUCCGACCUGCACGAAUGGCGUAAUGAUGGCCAGGCUGUCUCCACCCGAGACUCAGUGAAAUUGAACUCGCUGUGAAGAUGCAGUGUACCCGCGGCAAGACGGAAAGACCCCGUGAACCUUUACUAUAGCUUGACACUGAACAUUGAGCCUUGAUGUGUAGGAUAGGUGGGAGGCUUUGAAGUGUGGACGCCAGUCUGCAUGGAGCCGACCUUGAAAUACCACCCUUUAAUGUUUGAUGUUCUAACGUGGACCCGUGAUCCGGGUUGCGGACAGUGUCUGGUGGGUAGUUUGACUGGGGCGGUCUCCUCCUAAAGAGUAACGGAGGAGCACGAAGGUUGGCUAAUCCUGGUCGGACAUCAGGAGGUUAGUGCAAUGGCAUAAGCCAGCUUGACUGCGAGCGUGACGGCGCGAGCAGGUGCGAAAGCAGGUCAUAGUGAUCCGGUGGUUCUGAAUGGAAGGGCCAUCGCUCAACGGAUAAAAGGUACUCCGGGGAUAACAGGCUGAUACCGCCCAAGAGUUCAUAUCGACGGCGGUGUUUGGCACCUCGAUGUCGGCUCAUCACAUCCUGGGGCUGAAGUAGGUCCCAAGGGUAUGGCUGUUCGCCAUUUAAAGUGGUACGCGAGCUGGGUUUAGAACGUCGUGAGACAGUUCGGUCCCUAUCUGCCGUGGGCGCUGGAGAACUGAGGGGGGCUGCUCCUAGUACGAGAGGACCGGAGUGGACGCAUCACUGGUGUUCGGGUUGUCAUGCCAAUGGCACUGCCCGGUAGCUAAAUGCGGAAGAGAUAAGUGCUGAAAGCAUCUAAGCACGAAACUUGCCCCGAGAUGAGUUCUCCCUGACCCUUUAAGGGUCCUGAAGGAACGUUGAAGACGACGACGUUGAUAGGCCGGGUGUGUAAGCGCAGCGAUGCGUUGAGCUAACCGGUACUAAUGAACCGUGAGGCUUAACCUU